GGGAGCCUCUGAAAAACCACACCAGUAACAAGGAGAUAACCCAGAGCUUAAUGGUAGCAGGAAGCCACAACAACAAGACUGAAGAGAUAAAGGGAGGAGGCAGUGUUACUAGAGCUGAGAACCAGGCUCACUCUCAGGAGACUAGAAGCAUGGUGGACCUGUCUGACAGAGAAGCUGUAGAAGAUGCUGACAGAGAAGCUGUAGAAGAUGGAAAGGAAAUGAGAAAGAUACCUCACCAUCUCCAUUCCCCCACUCUCCAAUCUCCCACCAGCGCCUCCCACCUGUUGAAUUUAGCUGGAUAGCAGCUGAAGAGAAAGCGCGGGAAACGCAGCUUGCAAAGGGGAUUUUCUGGUCUUAUGCAGAAAAAGAAUGCUGUGUUUUGUAAAGCUAUGGUACCAUAUUCUGCUCUACUGUCAUGUCCUCUGAGAAACCACCUAAAACAAAGCUAAUAGAGAGCUGAGAGAACACUGUGCGAGGCCAGCAAAUCUGUAUGUGAGACACUCAGGAGAAACACCUUCCACCUCAGCAAGUGGCCUGGAUGAAGCACAGUGUCAGGAGCAUUAAUGGGACACACAGUGCUUGCUGUCAGAAACACUGGAUUGACAACAGCGAUGAUGAUGGAAGCUAAUGCUAGCUCAUGUACGCUUAGAACUUCCUCUGCCGGGCACCCUCCUAAGAGCUCUGCACAGAUAAACCCAGUUCUUACAACAAGCCCUGAAAUAGUUCCUACCGUCUUUCCCAUCCUACAGAUGUGACAGUUGAGGCAGAGAGAGGCUGGUAAUUUGCUUAAGGUUCAUUUGACUAAUAAAGGCAAAGCUGGAGGCAGGGCUUAA
Molossus molossus (Pallas's mastiff bat) is the source of this 833-nucleotide long non-coding RNA. RefSeq lists it as uncharacterized. The transcript is spliced from 5 exons. Lineage: Eukaryota; Metazoa; Chordata; Mammalia; Chiroptera; Molossidae. The record is from RefSeq and is a predicted model, not a curated record.